UGCUUCUAAGAUGCUUUGAUUGGUAAUGGAGAUUAGAGGAUUUGGAACAGUUGACAAAUUUACAAGAUGAGCUCCUUGAUGCAGCUUCAUUAUUAGUGAAGCCUGGAGGGACACUAGUGUACAGUACUUGUUCCAUUGAUCCUGAAGAGAAUGAGGAGAGAGUGGCUGCCUUUCUCCUCAAGCAUCCGGAUUUCAUUAUAGAUGUUGCUGAUAGGUACGUCCCACCUGAUUUUGUUACGGACAAAGGGUUCUUCUUCUCCAACCCAGUCAAACAUCGUCUUGAUGGAUCAUUUGCGGCCCGCCUGGUGGUCCUAUAUGUAGACCACAAGAUGAACCCUGGGUAAGCAGACCAAGAAUAGUCUAAUUUCUAUUUUCUUGAAAAUUGCUUCAAUUCUCAAUGAGGGUAAAUUUUUUUUAGAGCAAUUAAAAAUCAAAGCAUGUUGAGCCACCACUCUAAUCAUAUUCAUCGAAAUCACUUUUUUGGAGUGCAGUUAGCAAGAAAAACGUGAGCCUCUCCUCUUUAAUCAGGACAAGGUAGGGCCAUGAUGUGAUACAAUUAUCCAAAAAGAAACUUAUCUCUUGUAACUAAUGCUGUCAAAAUCGUUAUCAUGCUGCAAAUUGUAAUUGGGGUUGAAUCUUAUUGAGUUACAAA
RNA transcript from Magnolia sinica, 652 nucleotides. RefSeq lists it as uncharacterized. Lineage: Eukaryota; Viridiplantae; Streptophyta; Magnoliopsida; Magnoliales; Magnoliaceae. The record is from RefSeq and is a predicted model, not a curated record. The transcript is spliced from 4 exons.